RNAcentral lists this ribosomal RNA (497 nucleotides) under uncultured bacterium. Its description in RNAcentral is "partial 16S ribosomal RNA". It matches the Rfam family "Bacterial small subunit ribosomal RNA", at positions 28 to 507 of the family's 1533-position model. The record is from RNAcentral.
GAUGAACGCUGGCGGCGUGCCUAAUACAUGCCAGUCGAGCGAACAGACGAGGAGCUUGCUCCUUUGACGUUAGCGGCGGACGGGUGAGUAACACGUGGAUAACCUACCUAUAAGACUGGGAUAACUUCGGGAAACCGGAGCUAAUACCGGAUAAUAUUUUGAACCGCAUGGUUCAAUAGUGAAAGAUGGUUUUGCUGUCACUUAUAGAUGGAUCUGCGCCGCAUUAGCUAGUUGGUAAGGUAACGGCUUACCAAGGCAACGAUGCGUAGCCGACCUGAGAGGGUGAUCGGCCACACUGGAACUGAGACACGGUACAGACUCCUACGGGAGGCAGCAGUAGGGAAUCUUCCGCAAUGGGCGAAAGCCUGACGGAGCAACGCCGCGUGAGUGAUGAAGGUCUUCGGAUCGUAAAACUCUGUUAUUAGGGAAGAACAAAUGUGUAAGUAACUAUGCACGUCUUGACGGUACCUAAUCAGAAAGCCACGGCUAACUACGUG